GUUACAGAAAUGCUAGAAACCUGGUCAUCAGACACUAAUUCUCCACAUCUCAAAACCCACAAUGCUGCACAGACUUCUGUGCUGUGCCUUCACCUUAGAGUGCAAGAGAAAACCUGCCCUUCACCAAGGUAUUUUUUUCUAGACUUUCAGGGAUGUGUCAUCAGGGAUGUCCUGUGCAGGCUGGCCUUCCCAAGUCAGUCCAUCCUGGGGUGUAACAUGCUCUGUACGCUUCCCACAGAGCUGUGCUUACCCUGGUGAUGAUCCUGCCACUGCACCUACCUCUCAGCCACUGCUGGUUUUGGGACAACCAAAAAAUUCCUCAGCCUUGACUGCCACAGGCAUUUCCUUUCUCUCUCUCUCUCUGCAU
Cyanistes caeruleus (blue tit) is the source of this 367-nucleotide long non-coding RNA. RefSeq lists it as uncharacterized. The record is from RefSeq and is a predicted model, not a curated record. NCBI's taxonomy places the organism in Eukaryota, Metazoa, Chordata, Aves, Passeriformes, Paridae.